RNAcentral lists this ribosomal RNA (1325 nucleotides) under metagenome. RNAcentral's name for it is "bacterial LSU rRNA". It matches the Rfam family "Bacterial large subunit ribosomal RNA", at positions 1561 to 2925 of the family's 2925-position model. The record is from RNAcentral.
AGUGGAUGGGGAGCAACCUAGUUGUGCGUGUGUAAAGGUAGUGCCAAGAAAAGCGAUGAUCAUGUUGAAAAUCAAUUCCCGGUACCCGAAACCGACACAGGUGGGCAAGUAGAGAAUACUAAGGGGCGCGAGGUAACUCUCUCCAAGGAACUCGGCAAAAUGACCCCGUAACUUAGGGAGAAGGGGUGCCACCGAGAGGUGGUCGCAGUGAAGAGGCCCAGGCGACUGUUUAGCAAAAACAUAGGUCUCUGCAAACUCGAAAGAGGAGGUAUAGGGGCUGACGCCUGCCCAGUGCCGGAAGGUUAAAGAAGUUGGUCAGUUUUAGGAUGAAGCUAGCGACUGAAGCCCCGGUGAACGGCGGCCGUAACUAUAACGGUCCUAAGGUAGCGAAAUUCCUUGUCGGGUAAGUUCCGACCCGCACGAAAGGCGUAACGAUCUGGGCGCUGUCUCGGAGAGAGGCUCGGCGAAAUAGGAUUGUCUGUGAAGAUACGGACUACCUGCAUUUGGACAGAAAGACCCUAUGAAGCUUUACUAUAGCUUGGAAUUGUGUUCGGGCUUCCUGUGCGCAGGAUAGGUGGGAGGCGUAGAAGGUAUUCUUGUGGGGAUACUGGAGCCAACGGUGAGAUACCACUCUCAGGAGGCUAGAAUUCUAACUUAAUUAAGGACAGUUUCAGGUGGGUAGUUUGACUGGGGCGGUCGCCUCCAAAAAGGUAACGGAGGCGUACAAAGGUUCCCUCAGACUGGUUGGAAAUCAGUCGAAGAGUGCAAAGGCAGAAGGGAGCUUGACUGCGAGAAGUACAGUUCGAGCAGGGUGGAAACACGGUCUUAGUGAUCCGACGGUGCUGUGUGGAAGGGCCGUCGCUCAACGGAUAAAAGUUACUCUAGGAUAACAGGCUGAUCUCCCCCAAGAGUUCACAUCGACGGGGAGGUUUGGCACCUCGAUGUCGGCUCAUCGCAACCUGGGGCGGAAGUACGUCCCAAGGGUUGGGCUGUUCGCCCAUUAAAGCGGUACGUGAGCUGGGUUCAGAACGUCGUGAGACAGUUCGGUCCAUAUCCGAUGUAGGCGUGAGAAUAUUGAGAGGAGCCUUCCUUAGUACGAGAGGACCGGGAAGGACGCACCGCUGGUGUACCUGUUAUGAUGCCAAUUGUAAACGCAGGGUAGCCAAGUGCGGAGAGGAUAACCGCUGAAAGCAUCUAAGUGGGAAGCCCACCUCAAGAUGAGUAUUCUGGUGUAAGGUCACGGGAAGACGACCCGUAAAUAGACACGAGGUGGAAGUGCAGAGAUGUAUGAAGCCGAAGUGUACUAAUAGACCGUCGGCUUGACC